AUUGAACGCUGGCGGCAUGCCUUACACAUGCAAGUCGAACGGCAGCAUGGAAGAGCUUGCUCUUCUGAUGGCGAGUGGCGAACGGGUGAGUAAAGCAUCGGAACGUACCGUGUAGUGGGGGAUAACGUAGCGAAAGUUACGCUAAUACCGCAUACGCACUGAGGUGGAAAGCAGGGGAUCGCAAGACCUUGCGCUAUACGAGCGGCCGAUGUCAGAUUAGCUAGUUGGUAGGGUAAAGGCCUACCAAGGCGACGAUCUGUAGCGGGUCUGGGAGGAUGAUCCGCCACGCUGGGACUGAGACGCGGCCCAGACUCCUACGGGAGGCAGCAGUGGGGAAUUUUGGACAAUGGGGGAAACCCUGAUUCAGCCAUGCCGCGUGAGUGAAGAAGGCCUUCGGGUUGUAAAGCUCUUUCGGCUGGGAAGAAAUCGCACAGGCUAAUACUCUGUGUGGAUGACGGUACCAGCACAAGAAGCACCGGCUAACUACGUGCCAGCAGCCGCGGUAA
RNAcentral lists this ribosomal RNA (506 nucleotides) under uncultured bacterium. RNAcentral describes it as "partial 16S ribosomal RNA". It matches the Rfam family "Bacterial small subunit ribosomal RNA", at positions 30 to 523 of the family's 1533-position model. The record is from RNAcentral.